Non-coding RNA from Zopfochytrium polystomum, 73 nucleotides. NCBI's taxonomy places the organism in Eukaryota, Fungi, Chytridiomycota, Chytridiomycetes, Chytridiales, Chytridiaceae. The record is from the annotation of a GenBank genome assembly.
AGGUGUGUAGGACAGUGGUUAAGUCGGCUGACCUGCACAGUGGGGGGCCCGGGUUCGAUUCCCGGAAGGACGA